GUGCUCAGUUUGGCAGCACAUAUACUAAAAUUGGAACAAUACAGAGAAGAUUAGCAUGACCUCUGCACAAGGAUGACAUGCAAAUCUGUGAAGCAUUCCAUAUUUUU
Molecule: small nuclear RNA, 107 nt
Filed under: Physeter macrocephalus (sperm whale)
Lineage: Eukaryota; Metazoa; Chordata; Mammalia; Artiodactyla; Physeteridae
Source: RNAcentral